CUACGGGAGGCACCAGUGAGGAAUAUUGCACAAUGGGGGGAACCCUGAUGCAGCAACGCCGCGUGGGGGAUGACGCAUUUCGGUGUGUAAACUCCUUUUAUAUGUCAAGAAAAUGACGGUAGCAUAUGAAUAAGCACCGGCUAACUCCGUGCCAGCAGCCGCGGUAAUACGGAGGGUGCAAGCGUUACUCGGAAUCACUGGGCGUAAAGGACGCGUAGGCGGGUUGGAAAGUCAGGUGUGAAAUCCUACAGCUUAACUGUAGAACUGCACUUGAAACUUCUAAUCUAGAGUAUGGGAGGGGGAGAUGGAAUUAGUGGUGUAGGGGUAAAAUCCAUAGAUAUCACUAGGAAUACCUAAAGCGAAGGCGAUCUCCUGGAACAUUACUGACGCUAAGGCGUGAAAGCGUGGGGAGCAAACAGGAUUAGAUACCCCGGUAGUC
This 439-nucleotide ribosomal RNA is filed under the name uncultured bacterium. Its description in RNAcentral is "partial 16S ribosomal RNA". It matches the Rfam family "Bacterial small subunit ribosomal RNA", at positions 339 to 795 of the family's 1533-position model. The record is from RNAcentral.